This 684-nucleotide long non-coding RNA is filed under the name Salmo salar (Atlantic salmon). RNAcentral describes it as "lncRNA (ENSSSAG00000084603.1)". Lineage: Eukaryota; Metazoa; Chordata; Actinopteri; Salmoniformes; Salmonidae. The record is from RNAcentral.
ACUGCCCAGGUCCACCGUCAUCCUCUGACCCCUCACCAACGAUCCCUCACUGCCCAGGUCCACCGUUAUCCUCUGACCCCUCACCAACGAUCCCUCACUGCCCAGGUCCACCGUUAUCCUUUGACCUCUCACCAACGAUCCCUCACUGCCCAGGUCCACCGUUAUCCUCUGACCCUCUCACCAAUGAGCCCUCAUUGCCCAGGUCCACCAUCAUCCUCUGACCCCUCACCAACGAUCCCUCACUGCCCAGGUCCACCGUUAUCCUCUGACCCUCUCACCAAUGAGCCCUCAUUGCCCAGGUCCACCGUUAUCCUCUGACCCCUCACCAAUGAUCCCUCACUGCCCAGGUCCACCGUUAUCCUCUGACCCCUCACCAAUGAGCCCUCAUUGCCCAGGUCCACCAUCAUCCUCUGACCACUCACCAACGAUCCCUCACUGCCCAGGUCCACCAUCAUCCUCUGACCCCUCACCAACGAGCCCUCAUUGCCCAGGUCCACCGUCAUCCUCUGACCCCUCACCAACGAGCCCUCACUGCCCAGGUCCACCGUCAUCCUCUGACCCCUCACCAACGAUCCCUCACUGCCCAGGUCCACCGUUAUCCUCUGACCCCUCACCAACGAGCCCUCAUUGCCCAUGUCCACCGUCAUCCUCUGACCCCCUCACCAACGAUCCCUCACUGCCCAG